AGAGUUUGAUCCUGGCUCAGAACGAACGCUGGCGGCGUGCCUAACACAUGCAAGUCGAACGAGAAAGUUCCCUUCGGGGAAUGAGUAAAGUGGCGCAAGGGUGAGUAACACGUGAGUAAUCUGCCUUCGAAUCUGGGAUAACUUGACGAAAGUUAAGCUAAUACCGGAUAAGACCACGUUUCACAAGAAAUGCGGUCAAAGGGGUCUCAAACCCCGUUUGAAGAUGAGUUCGCGUACCAUUAGCCUGUUGGUGAGAUAACAGCUCACCAAGGCGACGAUGGUUAGCCGGCCUGAGAGGGUGAUCGGCCACACUGGAACUGAGACACGGUCCAGACUCCUACGGGAGGCAGCAGUGGGGAAUUUUGCGCAAUGGGCGAAAGCCUGACGCAGCAACGCCGCGUGAGCGAUGAAGGCCUUCGGGUCGUAAAGCUCUGUCAAGUGGGAAGAACACAAUGACGGUACCACUAGAGGAAGCCCCGGCUAACUUCGUGCCAGCAGCCGCGGUAAUACGAAGGGGGCAAGCGUUGUUCGGAAUUAUUGGGCGUAAAGCGUGUGUAGGUGGUCUUUCAAGUCAGACGUGUAAGCCCUCGGCUCAACCGAGGAAUUGCGUUUGAAACUGAUCGACUUGAGUGCAGGAGAGGAAAGCGGA
This 649-nucleotide ribosomal RNA is filed under the name uncultured bacterium. RNAcentral describes it as "bacterial SSU rRNA". It matches the Rfam family "Bacterial small subunit ribosomal RNA", at positions 8 to 665 of the family's 1533-position model. The record is from RNAcentral.